CGCGUAGGCGGUUUGUACAGUCAGACGUGAAAUUCCCGGGCUCAACCUGGGGGCUGCGUUUGAUACGUGCGAGCUUGAGUUCGGAAGAGGGUCGUGGAAUUCCCAGUGUAGAGGUGAAAUUCGUAGAUAUUGGGAAGAACACCGGUGGCGAAGGCGGCGACCUGGUCCGAGACUGACGCUGAGGCGCGAAAGCGUGGGGAGCAAACAGGAUUAGAUACCCUGGUAGUCCACGCCGUAAACGAUGUGUGCUGGAUGUUGGGCAGCUUAGCUGUUCAGUGUCGUAGCCAACGCGAUAAGCACACCGCCUGGGGAGUACGGCCGCAAGGUUGAA
This 331-nucleotide ribosomal RNA is filed under the name uncultured bacterium. RNAcentral's name for it is "bacterial SSU rRNA". It matches the Rfam family "Bacterial small subunit ribosomal RNA", at positions 568 to 898 of the family's 1533-position model. The record is from RNAcentral.